AUUUGCCAAGGGGGGAACCCUUUUUAAGGAACUCCCGUUAAGCGAAGAGUAUUUUCGGUAGUAAAUUCUUUUCACCGGGGAGAAAGAAAAGCGGUCCUUGAUUAGGAAGCACGGGUUAAUUAGGUCCCGCAAGCCCCGGAAAACGUAUGGACCAAGCUUAUUCGGGAUUACCUGGUUUAAAGGGAGCGCAGCCGGAGGCCUAAUUUUAAUGGAAAGCCCGGGGCUCAACCCCGGUACUGCAUGGGAACUGGUCAUCAAGAAUGUCGGAGGGGUAAAGGGAAUUCUUAGUGUAGCGGUGAAAUGCGUAGAUAUUAGGAGGAACACCAGUGCCGAAGGCGGCUUACUGGACGAUAACUGACGCUGAGGCUCGAAAGCGUGGGGAGCAAACAGGAUUAGAUACCCUAGUAGUGCACGCCGUAAACGAUGAAUACUAGGUGUCGGAAAGCACAGCUCUUCGGUGCCGCCGCAAACGCAUUAAGUAUUCCACCUGGGGAGUACGUUCGCAAGAAUGAAACUCAAAGGAAUUGACGGGGACCCGCACAAGCGGUGGAGCAUGUGGUUUAAUUCGAAGCAACGCGAAGAACCUUACCAAGUCUUGACAUCCUUCUGACCGGACAGUAAUGCGUCCUUUCCUUCGGGACAGAAGUGACAGGUGGUGCAUGGUUGUCGUCAGCUCGUGUCGUGAGAUGUUGGGUUAAGUCCCGCAACGAGCGCAACCCUUAUCCCCAGUAGCCAGCAUUUUGGAUGGGCACUCUGAGGAGACUGCCAGGGAUAACCUGGAGGAAGGUGGGGAUGACGUCAAAUCAUCAUGCCCCUUAUGACUUGGGCUACACACGUGCUACAAUGGCGUAAACAAAGGGAAGCAAGACCGUGAGGUGGAGCAAAUCCCAAAAAUAACGUCUCAGUUCGGACUGUAGUCUGCAACCCGACUACACGAAGCUGGAAUCGCUAGUAAUCGCAGAUCAGAAUGCUGCGGUGAAUACGUUCCCGGGUCUUGUACACACCGCCCGUCACACCAUGGGAGUUGGAAAUGCCCGAAGUCAGUGACCCAACCGCAAGGAGGGAGCUGCCGAAGGCAGGUUCGAUAACU
This 1090-nucleotide ribosomal RNA is filed under the name human gut metagenome. RNAcentral's name for it is "bacterial SSU rRNA". It matches the Rfam family "Bacterial small subunit ribosomal RNA", at positions 363 to 1476 of the family's 1533-position model. The record is from RNAcentral.